RNAcentral lists this ribosomal RNA (449 nucleotides) under uncultured bacterium. Its description in RNAcentral is "partial 16S ribosomal RNA". It matches the Rfam family "Bacterial small subunit ribosomal RNA", at positions 30 to 523 of the family's 1533-position model. The record is from RNAcentral.
AUUGAACGCUGGCGGCAUGCCUUACACAUGCAAGUCGAACGAUGCCUUCGGGCAUAGUGGCGCACGGGUGCGUAACGCGUGGGAAUCUGCCCUUCGGUUGGGAAUAACUCAGGGAAACUUGAGCUAAUACCUUAUAAUGUCUUCGGACCAAAGAUUUAUCGCCGAGGGAUGAGCCCGCGUAGGAUUAGCUAGUUGGUGGGGUAAGGGCCUACCAAGGCGACGAUCCUUAGCUGGUCUGAGAGGAUGAUCAGCCACACUGGGACUGAGACACGGCCCAGACUGCUACGGGAGGCAGCAGUGGGGAAUAUUGGACAAUGGGCGAAAGCCUGAUCCAGCAAUGCCGCGUGAGUGAUGAAGGCCUUAGGGUUGUAAAGCUCUUUUACCAGUGAUGAUAAUGACAGUACCUGGAGAAUAAGCUCCGGCUAACUCCGUGCCAGCCGCCGCGGUAA